Molecule: ribosomal RNA, 489 nt
Filed under: uncultured bacterium
Lineage: Bacteria
Description: partial 16S ribosomal RNA
Rfam family: Bacterial small subunit ribosomal RNA
Source: RNAcentral
UUGAACGCUGGCGGCAGGCCUAACCCAUGCAAGUCGAACGGUAACAGGAAACAGCUUGCUGUUUCGCUGACGAGUGGCGGACGGGUGAGUAAUGUCUGGGAAACUGCCUGAUGGAGGGGGAUAACUACUGGAAACGGUAGCUAAUACCGCAUAACGUCGCAAGACCAAAGAGGGGGACCCUCGGGCCUCUUGCCAUCGGAUGUGCCCAGAUGGGAUUAGCUUGUUGGUGGGGUAACGGCUCACCAAGGCGACGAUCCCUAGCUGGUCUGAGAGGAUGACCGGCCACACUGGAACUGAGACACGGUCCAGACUCCUACGGGAGGCAGCAGUGGGGAAUAUUGCACAAUGGGCGCAAGCCUGAUGCAGCCAUGCCGCGUGUAUGAAGAAGGCCUUCGGGUUGUAAAGUACUUUCAGCGGGGAGGAAGGGAGUAAAGUUAAUACCUUUGCUCAUUGACGUUACCCGCAGAAGAAGCACCGGCUAACUCCGUG